GUGCUUGCUUCUGCAAUACAUAUACUAAAAUUGGAGCGAUACGGAAAUUACAAUGCCCUUGUGCAAGGAUGACACACAGAUUUAUGAAGCAUUCCAUAUUUUC
RNAcentral lists this small nuclear RNA (103 nucleotides) under Canis lupus familiaris (dog). The record is from RNAcentral. Lineage: Eukaryota; Metazoa; Chordata; Mammalia; Carnivora; Canidae.